GAGUUUGAUCGUGGCUCAGGACGAACGCUGGCGGCGUGCCUAACACAUGCAAGUCGCACGGGGUAGCAAUACCCAGUGGCGAACGGGUGCGUAACACGUGAGGAACAUACCUAUCGGCGGGGGAUAGCCGGCCCAACGGCCGGGUAAUACCGCGUACGCUCUCCGGGAGGCAUCUCCUGGGGAGAAAGCAGCAAUGCACCGAUAGAGUGCCUCGCGGCCUAUCAGCUAGUUGGUGAGGUAACGGCUCACCAAGGCGACGACGGGUAGCUGGUCUGAGAGGAUGAUCAGCCACAUUGGGACUGAGACACGGCCCAGACUCCUACGGGAGGCAGCAGUGGGGAAUCUUGCGCAAAUGGGCGAAAGCCUGACGCAGCGACGCCGCGUGUGGGAUGAAGGCCUUCGGUCGUAA
Molecule: ribosomal RNA, 409 nt
Filed under: uncultured Gemmatimonadota bacterium
Lineage: Bacteria; Pseudomonadati; Gemmatimonadota
Description: bacterial SSU rRNA
Rfam family: Bacterial small subunit ribosomal RNA
Source: RNAcentral